CUUCCCCCGCUCCCCGGGGACUUCUCCCGUCCCCUUCCCGCCGUAACGGCCGCCUCUCCUUCCGCAGCUCCCCGGGCUGUACCUCCCGCCGCGCCGCCGGGGUAAGGGGAGGCCUCGGCCCCCGCCUGAGGGAGAGGCCCCGGCCCGGGCCUGGGCCUCAAACCGCCUCACGUACCCCCGGCCUUGUUUGUCCUUCCUCAGCAGGCGGCGGCGAUGAGGAGGAGGAGGCAGACAGAGUGGACUCGGCGGAAACCUCCCUGCUGAACAAGCUGAUCCGCACAUCCCUGGUGGAGUCUAGCCACCGAGUGGAGAUCCUGCAGCAGGACCCCAGCUCCCCGCUCUUCUCCGUCAAAACCUUCGAAGAGCUGCCCCUGAAGAAGGAGCUCUUGCAGGGGAUUUACAUGAUGGGCUUCAACAGACCGUCCAAAAUCCAGGAGACGGCUCUGCCCAUCAUGCUGGCGUAUCCGUGAGUAGUUAACGCCAGGCGGGUGAGCCCCGGCUCCCUCGAGGCAUCCCUGGCGCCGGGACGCCAAUCCGGGGACCCUUGCAUGCCGCUAAGCAGCCUUUGCCUUGCAGGCCCCAAAAUCUGAUUGCCCAGAGCCAGUCAGGGACAGGGAAAACCGCAGCUUUUGUCUUGGCGAUGUUGAGCAGAGUUAAUGCCGCUGAGAAAUACCCGCAGUGCCUCUGCUUGGCUCCCACCUAUGAGCUGGCCCUGCAGAUCGGGCACGUGAUCGAGAAGAUUGGGCGGUUUUGCACCGACAUCACGGUUAUGUAUGCUGUCCGAGGAAACCGAGCAGAAACACGUUGUGUUUGGAGGCGCUUGGAUGCAAUUCCCCCUCUGGCAGUUCUGCAGGGCACCACGCUGCAGGAGCAGAUCGUCAUCGGGACCCCAGGGACGAUGCUGGACUGGUGUUUCAAACGGAGAGUCGUGGAGUUGAAGAAGAUCAACUUGUUCGUGCUGGAUGAGGCCGACAUCAUGAUCGACACUCAGGGCCUCUCCUGUCAAAGCAUUCGCAUUCAGAGGGCUUUACCCAAGGGCUGCCAGAUGCUGCUGUUCUCGGCCACCUUCAAGGAAACUGUGCGGGCGUUCGCCAUGCAAAUCGUUUCCAACCCCAUCAUGAUAAAGCUGCGCGAAGAAGAGCUCACCCUGAGCAACAUCAGGCAGUACUUCUUCGUGUGCAGGAGCUGGGAGGAGAAGUACAGAGCCCUCUGCAACAUCUACGGCAGCAUCACCAUUGGCCAGGCUAUGAUCUUCUGCCAGACUCGGAGGAGCGCGGACUGGCUGGCGGUGGAGAUGAGCCAGGACGGGCAUCAGGUGGCCAUCCUGACGGCAGAGCUGACGGUAGCCCAACGGGCCGAUGUCAUCCAGCGCUUUCGCGACGGGAAGGAGAAGGUCCUCAUCGCCACCAACGUCUGCGCCAGAGGGAUUGACGUCCAGCAGGUCACCAUCGUGGUGAACUUCAGCCUCCCCACCAAUCAGAGGAGCGAGCCGGAUUUCGAGACCUACCUCCACCGCAUAGGGCGAACGGGACGCUUCGGCAAGAGGGGAGUUGCCUUCAGCAUGGUGGAAAGCCAGAAUGUGGGGCUUGUGCAGAUGAUAGAGGAGCAUUUCCCAGAAGCGUUGGGCAACUGUGAUGAGCAGGAGGUGGAUGAGUCCCAACCACGGCCACGGCCAGAAUUAGCCAAAGGAGCCCAGUGUGGGAUUUCCAAGGGCUGAAAAUCUGAGCGGAUGAACUCCUAGUGAACUGACUUUUCCUUUUAACACCAUGACAUUGCAACUUGAGGGCCGGGGCUGCCAGAGGAGGAUAAUGGACCUUCCCCCUCCCGCAUCGCUUUGGAAAGACCAAGAUCAAGCAGCUGGACCCGGAUGACAUGGAUGAGCUUGAGAAGCUUGAAAACUGAGUGAGGAG
This is an RNA transcript of Haliaeetus leucocephalus (bald eagle), 1910 nucleotides long. It is a transcript of the gene named ATP-dependent RNA helicase DDX25-like, with no coding region annotated. The record is from RefSeq and is a predicted model, not a curated record. NCBI's taxonomy places the organism in Eukaryota, Metazoa, Chordata, Aves, Accipitriformes, Accipitridae. The transcript is spliced from 10 exons.